RNAcentral lists this ribosomal RNA (460 nucleotides) under uncultured bacterium. RNAcentral describes it as "partial 16S ribosomal RNA". It matches the Rfam family "Bacterial small subunit ribosomal RNA", at positions 338 to 795 of the family's 1533-position model. The record is from RNAcentral.
CCUACGGGAGGCAGCAGUGAGGAAUAUUGGUCAAUGGACGAGAGUCUGAACCAGCCAAGUAGCGUGAAGGAUGACUGCCCUAUGGGUUGUAAACUUCUUUUAUAUGGGAAUAAAACGUUCCACGUGUGGGAUUUUGUAUGUACCUUAUGAAUAAGGAUCGGCUAACUCCGUGCCAGCAGCCGCGGUAAUACGGAGGAUCCGAGCGUUAUCCGGAUUUAUUGGGUUUAAAGGGAGCGUAGGUGGAUUGUUAAGUCAGUUGUGAAAGUUUGCGGCUCAACCGUAAAAUUGCAGUUGAAACUGGCAGUCUUGAGUACAGUAGAGGUGGGCGGAAUUCGUGGUGUAGCGGUGAAAUGCUUAGAUAUCACGAAGAACUCCGAUUGCGAAGGCAGUUCACUGGACUGCAACUGACACUGAGGCUCGAAAGUGUGGGUAUCAAACAGGAUUAGAUACCCCUGUAGUC